Molecule: long non-coding RNA, 1614 nt
Filed under: Homo sapiens (human)
Lineage: Eukaryota; Metazoa; Chordata; Mammalia; Primates; Hominidae
Description: HSALNT0137457
Source: RNAcentral
UAGAGCCUCUGUACUUAGCCUCCAGCAGAGUAAGUGGGGAAACAUGCCAUUCCUCCUGUGGCAAAUGAAGCUUCCAGGUACUGGACCCGAAAUCAGAAAGAUUCCUAAAGCUGCAAGAGCAUCUGGCACCUCUGAUUCCCACAUGGAGAGGUUGAAUAGCCCCAAAAUGUGCCACUGUCUUUCAGAGAAGACACGGACACAAGGAAUCCUAUAGCCAGACCAGGUUUGUUCUUCCAUGAGAGCAGGAACACACCUUUCUAUGGAGGGCACCUGACUCAGUGCUCAUCACAGAGUAUGUACCCAGCAAAUAUGUAUGAAAGAACAAAUGAACUCAGGAGAGAAAGAACUUCUAAUGCAAGCAGAAUAUCUUUGGUUACCAAUGACUAAGAACUGUGCAAUAGAAAAUACUAGCCCUGAAGUUAAGAAGAUGGCCCACUCAAAAGAUCUGAUCACACCAAACACCCAAAAGAGGAUGCAGGUUGGUUGAGCAAAGAUUUAGGGUUGGUACGAAUUUUCUAGUUCUAUCAGAACCUAUCUCUAACUUUUAGCGUUUGUUCUAGUACAACACAUUGAAUACUACCCUCUUUAUGGAGAAUGGGCUCAGCAAGUUUUAACAAAUCCUUUUGUCAUUUUCAAAAAUACCUGAUUUCAAACACAUCCUUAGUGUUAUGAUAAAAUGUCUUAUAAUGAGAAAGACCUCAUCUAAUUAUCAUAGUUAAGAUUCCUAUAUGUGGGAAAACCACAAAAGCAUCCGUUUAAAGAAAGGUAUGUGAGUAUACUGGCUGUUACAGUUAUUCUCAUUCAAAACCAUCCUCAGGGGUUUCUAAGUCUUGACAGGACAGUUUUGUUUUCCAAGUAGACGGUGCUUAGAAAAACUAUGCAUGAGGUAAAAUUGUAUGGAACUAUUUACCCCCAAAAUGCACUACUGAUAUAACUAUUCUUGCAUUGUUUUUGAACUAUUUUCCCUAUUUUUGAGCUAUUUUCACAACUUCUUAUGCAUCCAAAAUUUUUUCCAAAUAAAAACUUUUUAGAAAUACACCUUUGUGGUGAAACAAUUAUCCUAUGUGUACAGAUUAGGUAACUAGAGAAGUUAUCCGGUUUCCUCAAGGUCAUCAUGCUGGAACAGGGCAGAAGAGGGGCUGAAAUCCAGACCUGCUCACUGUCUCCCAAGAUCAUGCUUUUCCCAUUUUAGCACACAACUUCCUUAAAUCAGCUGAGUGUCCUCUAAGUAUUUAAUCAAAUACUCAUUGGACGCUUUCAAAAGCUUUAACCUUUUUCAUGUUUUCUGUCAAAUGGAAUAUGUCCCUUUACCAAUACCAAUACCACACACACACAUACACACACAUUCUCUCUAAUACACAUGUGUACACACACAUAUAUACACUCCCAAACACGUGUGCACAUACACGUGUUGGCACACACACACCUACUUUCAUCUCCACCUUCACUGCCACCACUUCAUGUAACCAGUGUCUAUGAAUGACUUAAAAGGAGAGAUCUAGAACCAGAGGAAGUCAAAGUUGGCAAUAAGAACUCUUUGGUGUGAUUUUGGUUGAACAACCACACUCGCAGCUAUGGUCGUGGCAAGAUUUACAUAUUUGGAACUGAAAUUGG